UAAGGAAUAUUGCUCAAUGGGAGAAAUCCUGAAGCAGCAACGCCGCGUGGAGGAUGAAGGGUCUAUGACUUGUAAACUCCUGUAAAGAAGGAAAAAAUUCCCAUUAGAUGGGAGAUGAUGGUACUUCUGGAGUAAGCACCGGCUAACUACGUGCCAGCAGCCGCGGUAAUACGUAGGGGGCAAGCGUUGUCCGGAUUUACUGGGUGUAAAGGGCGCGCAGGCGGGAUAAAAAGUCAGUGGUGAAAUCCUACAGCUUAACUGUAGAACUGCCUUUGAUACUUUUAUUCUUGAGUUCGGGAGAGAGAGACGGAAUUCCAGGUGUAGUGGUGAAAUACGUAGAUAUCUGGAAGAACACCAGUUGCGAAGGCGGUCUCUUGGUCCGACACUGACGCUGAGGCGCGAAAGCGUGGGGAGCAAACA
This 420-nucleotide ribosomal RNA is filed under the name uncultured bacterium. Its description in RNAcentral is "bacterial SSU rRNA". It matches the Rfam family "Bacterial small subunit ribosomal RNA", at positions 355 to 774 of the family's 1533-position model. The record is from RNAcentral.